RNAcentral lists this ribosomal RNA (440 nucleotides) under uncultured bacterium. RNAcentral describes it as "partial 16S ribosomal RNA". It matches the Rfam family "Bacterial small subunit ribosomal RNA", at positions 338 to 795 of the family's 1533-position model. The record is from RNAcentral.
CCUAUGUGUGGCUGCAGUGGGGGAUAUUGCACAAUGGGGGAAACCCUGAUCCAGCGACGCCGCGUGGGUGAAGAAGCGCCUCGGCGCGUAAAGCCCUGUCAGCAGGGAAGAAAAUGACGGUACCUGAAGAAGAAGCCCCGGCUAAACACGUGCCAGCAGCCGCGGUAAUACGUAGGGGGCAAGCGUUAUCCGGAUUUACUGGGUGUAAAGGGGGCGCAGACGGCGAUGCAAGCCAGGAGUGAAAGCCCGGGGCCGAACCCCGGGACUGCUCUUGGAACUGCGUGGCUAGAGUGCAGGAGGGGCAGGCGGAAUUCCUGGUGUAGCGGUGAAAUGCGUAGAUAUCAGGAGGAACACCGGUGGCGAAGGCGGCCUGCUGGACUGCAACUGACGUUGAGGCCCGAAAGCGUGGGGAGCAAACAGGAUUAGAUACCCUUGUAGUC